AAAGUAAGCAAGGGCAGACGGUGGAUGCCUUGGCUCUCGGAGGCGACGAAGGACGUGAUAAGCUGCGAAAAGCUCGGGGGAGGCGCAAAUAGCCGUUGAUCCCGGGAUAUCCGAAUGGGGCAACCCGGCAGGCUGAAGGCCUGUCAUCCCGUAAGGGAGGCGAACGUGGGGAACUGAAACAUCUAAGUACCCAUAGGAGGAGAAAAUAAACAAUGAUUCCGUAAGUAGUGGCGAGCGAACACGGAAGAGCCCAAACCCAUGUCGUCUAGGCGACACGGGGGUUGUAGGACCACGACGUGGCAAGAUAGAGUCAAGUGGAACGCCUUGGAAAAGGCGGUCAUAGAGGGUGAAAACCCCGUACACGACUGACGAUUGAAGCCUAGUGGUAUCCUGAGUAGCGCGGGGCACGAGAAAUCUUGCGUGAAACAGCGGGGCCCAUCCCGUAAGGCUAAAUACUCCCGAGAGACCGAUAGCGAACCAGUACCGUGAGGGAAAGGUGAAAAGAACCCCGAGCAGGGGAGUGAAAUAGACCCUGAACCCGUCUGCCUACAAGCGGUCGGAGCAUAGCAAUAUGUGACGGCGUGCCUUUUGCAUAAUGAACCUACGAGUUACCUUCCCCGGCAAGGUUAAGUACCUAAGGUACGGAGCCGAAGCGAAAGCGAGUCUGAAGAGGGCGGCCAGUCGGGGGGGGUAGACGCGAAACCGAGUGAUCUACCCUUGGCCAGGUUGAAGGUUGGGUAACACCAACUGGAGGACCGGAUGGGUAAGCGUUGAAAAGCUUUCCAAUGAGCUGAGGGUAGGGGUGAAAGGCUAAUCAAACUCGGAGAUAGCUCGUACUCCCCGAAAUGCAUUUAGGUGCAGCCUCUUUAUAGUAUAUCGUGAGGUAGAGCGACUGAUUGGAUGCGAGGGCUUCACCGCCUAUCAAGUCCAGAUAAACUCCGAAUGCGCGAUAUAUAUUUAAAGGGAGUGAGGGCGCGGGUGCUAAGGUCCGUGUCCGAGAGGAGAAGAAUCCAGACCACCGGCUAAGGCCCCCAAAUGAUCGUUGAGUUGAACUAACGAGGUCGGAUCGCAGAGACAGCUAGGAUGUUGGCUUGGAAGCAGCCAUUCAUUUAAAGAGUGCGUAACAGCUCACUAGUCGAGCGAUCUGGCGUGGAUAAUAAUCGGGCAUAAACGAUCUGCCGAAGCCGUGGAUGUCGUAAGACAUGGUAGGGGAGCAUUCCAUGCGGCGUCGAAGAUGAGGGAUGACCCUUGUUGGAGCGCAUGGAAAAGCAAAUGUAGGUAUGAGUAACGAUAAGGGGGGCGAGAAACCCCCCCGCCGAAAGACCAAGGUUUCCUGAUCAACGCUAAUCGGAUCAGGGUGAGUCGGGACCUAAGGCAAAGCCGAACGGCGACGCCGAUGGAAGAAUGGGUUAAUAUUCCCAUACUGCCUCAUGGAGUGACGUGGAGACGGAGAAGUGACAGUCCUGCCGGCUGACGGAAUAGCCGGUUGAAGGGUGUAGAUAUUGAUUCCCGUAGGCAAAUCCGCGGGGAGAGUCGAACCUGACAGUAUACCGAGUACUUGUACGAGGUAAUAUGGACGUAACCAUGCUCCCAAGAAAAUCCGCUAAACUUAUCCAUGCGGCACCCGUACCGUAAACGGACACACGUGGUCGGGUUGAGAAUACUGAGGCGCUCGAGUGAUUCACGGUUAAGGAACUAGGCAAAUUGACCCUGUAACUUCGGGAUAAAGGGUCCUCGUCGUAAGGCGAGGCGCAGAGAAUAGGUCCAGGCAACUGUUUAACAAAAACACAUGGCUAUGCUAAAUGGAAACAUGACGUAUAUAGCCUGACACCUGCCCGGUGCUGGAAGGUUAAGAGGAGAUGUCAUCGCAAGAGAAGCGUUGAAUUGAAGCCCCAGUAAACGGCGGCCGUAACUAUAACGGUCCUAAGGUAGCGAAAUUCCUUGUCGGGUAAGUUCCGACCUGCACGAAUGGUGUAAUGAUCUGGACACUGUCUCAACCGUGAGCUCGGUGAAAUUGUAGUAUCGGUGAAGAUGCCGAUUACCCGCGAUGGGACGAAAAGACCCCGUGAACCUUUACUAUAGCUUUACAUUGAAUUUGGGCAGACGAUGUGUAGGAUAGGCCGGAGGCUUUGAAGGGGGUACGCCAGUAUCCUUGGAGCCGCCGUUGAAAUACGGCCCUUCGGUUGUUUGAGUUCUAACUCCUAGGCAGGAGGACACUGUAUGGUGGGUAGUUUGACUGGGGUGGUCGCCUCCAAAAGCGUAACGGAGGCUUCUAAAGGUGCCCUCAGACCGAUUGGUAACCGGUCGUAGAGUGUAAUGGCAUAAGGGCGCUUGACUGGGAGAGAUACAACUCGAUCAGGUAGGAAACUAGAGCAUAGUGAUCCGGUGGUUCCGCAUGGAAGGGCCAUCGCUCAAAGGAUAAAAGGUACUCCGGGGAUAACAGGCUGAUCAUUCCCAAGAGCUCAUAUCGACGGAAUGGUUUGGCACCUCGAUGUCGGCUCGUCACAUCCUGGGGCUGGAGAAGGUCCCAAGGGUUGGGCUGUUCGCCCAUUAAAGUGGCACGCGAGCUGGGUUCAGAACGUCGUGAGACAGUUCGGUCUCUAUCUAUCGUGGGCGCAGGAGAUUUGAGGGGCUCUGACACUAGUACGAGAGGACCGUGUUGGACGUACCACUGGUUUACCGGUUGUCCCGCCAGGGGCACCGCCGGGUAUCUAAGUACGGAUCGGAUAAGUGCUGAAAGCAUCUAAGUACGAAGCCGGCCUCAAGAUUAGAUCUCCCUGAAGGGUGGUUAUAGACGAUGACCUUGAUAGGCCACAGGUGUAAGGGCGGCGACGUCCGAGCCGAGUGGUACUAAUAGCCCGGGACUUUCCUCA
RNAcentral lists this ribosomal RNA (2873 nucleotides) under Parabacteroides distasonis str. 3776 D15 i. Its description in RNAcentral is "bacterial LSU rRNA". It matches the Rfam family "Bacterial large subunit ribosomal RNA". The record is from RNAcentral. RNAcentral also lists the same sequence under 1 other name. Lineage: Bacteria; Pseudomonadati; Bacteroidota; Bacteroidia; Bacteroidales; Tannerellaceae.